AUUGAACGCUGGCGGCAUGCCUUACACAUGCAAGUCGAGCGGCAGCACGGGAGCAAUCCUGGUGGCGAGUGGCGAACGGGUGAGUAAAGUAUCGGAACGUGCCCAGUCGUGGGGGAUAACGUAGCGAAAGUUACGCUAAUACCGCAUACGAUCUAUGGAUGAAAGCGGGGGAUCGCAAGACCUCGCGCGAUUGGAGCGGCCGAUAUCAGAUUAGGUAGUUGGUGGGGUAAAGGCUCACCAAGCCGACGAUCUGUAGCUGGUCUGAGAGGACGACCAGCCACGCUGGGACUGAGGCACGGCCCAGACUCCUACGGGAGGCAGCAGUGGGGAAUUUUGGACAAUGGGCGAAAGCCUGAUCCAGCCAUGCCGCGUGCAGGAUGAAGGCCUUCGGGUUGUAAACUGCUUUUGUACGGAACGAAAAGGUUUGGCCUAAUAAGCUGAGCUCAUGACGGUACCGUAAGAAUAAGCACCGGCUAACUACGUGCCAGCCGCCGCCGUAA
This 500-nucleotide ribosomal RNA is filed under the name uncultured bacterium. RNAcentral describes it as "partial 16S ribosomal RNA". It matches the Rfam family "Bacterial small subunit ribosomal RNA", at positions 30 to 523 of the family's 1533-position model. The record is from RNAcentral.